GACGAACGCUGGCGGCGUGCUUAACACAUGCAAGUCGAACGGAAAGGCCUUUUCGGAGGUACUCGAGUGGCGAACGGGUGAGUAACACGUGGGUGAUCUGCCCUGCACUCUGGGAUAAGCCUGGGAAACUGGGUCUAAUACCGGAUAGGACCGCACUUUAGUGUGUGUGGUGGCAAGUUUUUUCGGUGUAGGAUGAGCCCGCGGCCUAUCAGCUUGUUGAUGGGGUAAUGGCCUACCAAGGCGGCGACGGGUAGCCGGACUGAGAGGUUGGUCGGCCACAUUGGGACUGAGAUACGGCCCAGACUCCUACGGGAGGCAGCAGUGGGGAAUAUUGCCCAAUGGGCGCAAGCCUGAUGCAGCGACGCCGCGUGGGGGAUGACGGCCUUCGGGUUGUAAACUCCUUUCGCCAGGGACGAGGCGUUUUGUGACGGUACCUGGAGAAGAAGCACCGGCUAACUACGUG
This 463-nucleotide ribosomal RNA is filed under the name uncultured bacterium. Its description in RNAcentral is "partial 16S ribosomal RNA". It matches the Rfam family "Bacterial small subunit ribosomal RNA", at positions 28 to 507 of the family's 1533-position model. The record is from RNAcentral.